Molecule: non-coding RNA, 223 nt
Organism: Maylandia zebra (zebra mbuna)
Lineage: Eukaryota; Metazoa; Chordata; Actinopteri; Cichliformes; Cichlidae
Source: RefSeq, a predicted model, not a curated record
UUGGACUUGUCGGGCAGCUCCACAGCGACAACAGGCUUGACCUGCAAGACAUCAAUAAGGAUUACUUUAAUCCUCUGUCCAGCAGGAUGGCUCUGAACUCCUCGUCCUCACACAGAUCUUAAAGCAACAUGGGUGCACCGGACAAGUGAGUGCUACAGUAUACUGUAAACAUACCAAUUGGAGUCUCCUCCAGGAAGGUCUUGGCAUUGAGACUGGCUCCGUG